GAUGAACGCUGGCGGCGUGCCUAAUACAUGCAAGUCGAGCGAACAGACGAGGAGCUUGCUCCUCUGACGUUAGCGGCGGACGGGUGAGUAACACGUGGAUAACCUACCUAUAAGACUGGGAUAACUUCGGGAAACCGGAGCUAAUACCGGAUAAUAUAUUGAACCGCAUGGUUCAAUAGUGAAAGACGGUUUUGCUGUCACUUAUAGAUGGAUCCGCGCCGCAUUAGCUAGUUGGUAAGGUAACGGCUUACCAAGGCGACGAUGCGUAGCCGACCUGAGAGGGUGAUCGGCCACACUGGAACUGAGACACGGUCCAGACUCCUACGGGAGGCAGCAGUAGGGAAUCUUCCGCAAUGGGCGAAAGCCUGACGGAGCAACGCCGCGUGAGUGAUGAAGGUCUUCGGAUCGUAAAACUCUGUUAAUAGGGAAGAACAAAUGUGUAAGUAACUAUGCACGUCUUGACGGUACCUAAUCAGAAAGCCACGGCUAACUACGUG
RNAcentral lists this ribosomal RNA (497 nucleotides) under uncultured bacterium. Its description in RNAcentral is "partial 16S ribosomal RNA". It matches the Rfam family "Bacterial small subunit ribosomal RNA", at positions 28 to 507 of the family's 1533-position model. The record is from RNAcentral.